RNAcentral lists this long non-coding RNA (2246 nucleotides) under Anas platyrhynchos platyrhynchos (common mallard). Its description in RNAcentral is "lncRNA (ENSAPLG00000019193.1)". Lineage: Eukaryota; Metazoa; Chordata; Aves; Anseriformes; Anatidae. The record is from RNAcentral.
GGUCGGAAAAAUAUCUUUAAGUGAAUUUGGGAUUCACCUCAUAACUUCUGACACCUAAAGCUAACAUGAGGUGAAUCCUGCCUGAAGGGGGUUAGAGAGCCAAGGGCUGUAAGCUGAGAAGGCGUUUGGAUGGCAUCAGGCUGUCAGUGCUGUGUUUCCAAAGUGUUUGGGUGGUGACAGACACUGCCAACCACAGAGAUGAGCCUGUCAAGGAGCAGCAGAAGCCAAAAAAUGCAAAGAAGAAAUCCAACACUUUUUUUUUUUUUUUUUCUUCUCUUUUCUCAGAGGGAGUAAAGAUGCUUGGAUUAAACUCCAAGUGAUGACACGAGAGAACGACAAGGUUUGAUCGAUGGCACGUUAGUGAGCCUCGCGCCAAGAGAAAUGGGGCAACUUUGUGCAACGCAGGAGAGCAAACUAGGUGAUCCUACGGUCCUUGUCAUCCUUCCACACAGCCUGCAGCUGUUUGGCUGUUAAACGAACUGUCUCUUUCCUUCAAUUAAAACCUGGUUGCCAGACCUGCAGGUCCAUUGGAUGCACCUGUGCUUCUACACAAAACUCCGCAUAUAUUGUGAGCAAGGAGGAAAUUACCCUUCCCUCCACAAACUGUUUGCUAAGUCAGAAGAGGGUGUGGUAAUGAGAGCAAUAAACCAUGGGAUCUCAUCUGUGCACCUGCUGCAAUCUCCCCUCUCUCUGCUGGUACAGGAAGCCUGAUUUAAGGGCUUGAUUUAUGCCACCUUUCUGCACUGUGGACUGCUUGUGCACUCUCCUUGAAGCAAUCUGAGCAGAAUGUUAUAUGAAAAAGGAGAGACUGCAUCGUAUUUCUGCCAUGCUGCUUGUCAGACAGAUCCAAAAAGCAAACUCUGCAUGAUCUUGUCGUGGGAGCCUGGGAAGCAUCCAGCCCACCAGAAGCUGCUCCAAAUGGACUGGGAGAGAACACCAGGCUGGCCUUGCGUGCCUCUGCCCGCGGUUGCAGAGAAGUGCCGACAUCGCCUGGAAGCUCUUGACACAGAUCAUUGUUCUGGCUUUCUGCUGCUUCAUCACUUGCAAGUACUUAAGAUGACAGCACAUGUCAUGGGGUCUCUCUAUGGCAAGGGCCAGAGUCAUCCUCUGAUGACUCCAGAGUCAUCUUCUGUCCUACAUCACACCAGCAGCUUUGAUGGAACAUCUCAGGGAAGGGUUCAGUGAGGAAGGAGGGAUAAAGAAGGUCCACUGGGAACCUCACCUCACCUUAAAGCCAUCUUUAAGAGUGCUACAUCAGAUACAGAAGCAUUGAUAAUUAAUGAAAAUGGUCUUGAAACUGGUUUAGAGGCUAUUUAUUAAAGUAAAGGGUAAAUUGGACUCUUUGGACCAUCCAUUAUGUCCUGGCACCUCCUUUAACUUCAGUAUCCCAAAGCAGCUUUCACCACCCACGCAACACAUGUUAGGUUUGAAACAAUCCUUAUUCUUGCUUCCCUGGCUGGAAAAGUGUUAUUUGGCACUCAAAGUGGCCACCAUGGAAGGGAAGGGACACGAUCUGGCAGAUGUGUGGCACUGGGAGGCCAGGUCUGCAUUGAGGUGGGUCCCCAACCAAGGCAGCCCUGCUGCAAGGCUGAACUCUGGUUCCCUUCCCAUCUGUGUCAGGCAGUCUUCUUCAUGGUGUAUCCUUACAGCUGCCUGGGAUGGAGGACUGAAAAUUUUCUUUAUGGUGCAGGUCUGGGUGGGUGGACAACUGCUCACUUGCUGAGUUGCCCUAAAGGUUGGCCAAGGACUGUUUCUCCAGGAUGAUGGGUAGCCCAGACUUGCUGCUGGCAUGAUGCAGGGGGCUGUUCAUGAAUAUAAGCUGGUAUAGAAAACUCUUUGUAAGUGCAAUUAAUUUCUUAUUAGUGUUUAUACCCCUAGGAAAACAAAACAGAACAGAUGACUUUAGAAAUAGAGCUAUUUCUAAGUGGUCUUGGUGGCCUUAUGCUUCACCAGGUGAAGAGCAAUUUCUUUUGCAGACCUGAAUACCACUGAACAGAAGUUGUGGGCUACCAGCUGAUGAUAGCGGGUGACUUUGGGCAGUGCUGAGCAGUCCUUGAAGGCCAUAAUUAGGGAGUGGAGAAGUUCAUCCAUAACUUCUCAUGGAAGGAAAGCUGUGGACUCUGCAGUCUCUUCCUGGAUUCAUGUAUGGCCUGAUGACUUCUCUUUCCUAUGGCUCAUUUCCCUCACAGACAGACAUCAUUUGCAUUUCACAGUAUUUGGAGAUGCCUGGAAAUAAAGUGCUGGAG